CGGCGGGUAGGGUCGGGGGGUCAGCCGUCCCCACCCGUCUGAAACCGGCUAUACGCAGGGACCAGUAACCCCCGGGUAAAUCCCCGAAAUCCCAUCCAGCCACCAGGAGGACAGAGAUGUGGCUCUGACUGGAAGGAGCCACACAGUGAGAAGUCUCCUUGGAGGAGGGGAUGAACCACGAGGCAUCGAACCGGGUCAGGCCCGGGAGGGAGCAGCCCUAAGGUGUAGUGUGGUUGCUUUCCACCAUCGGGGUUGAAUCUACCCCUUGGGAGGGGGUUGGGAGAUUAGGGUCGGAACCGGGGGAUCCGCCG
Molecule: signal recognition particle RNA, 311 nt
Filed under: Nitrososphaeria archaeon
Lineage: Archaea; Thermoproteati; Nitrososphaerota; Nitrososphaeria
Description: signal recognition particle sRNA
Rfam family: Archaeal signal recognition particle RNA
Source: RNAcentral